This 253-nucleotide ribosomal RNA is filed under the name uncultured bacterium. RNAcentral describes it as "partial 16S ribosomal RNA". It matches the Rfam family "Bacterial small subunit ribosomal RNA", at positions 524 to 776 of the family's 1533-position model. The record is from RNAcentral.
AACGUAGGAGACAAACGUUAUCCGGAGUUACUGGGCGUAAAGGGCGUGUAGGUGGUAUCGUAAGUCUGGCGUGAAAUUUCUCGGCUUAACCGAGGCAGGUCGUCGGAUACUGCGAGGCUAGAGGACGGUAGAGGCGUGUGGAAUUCCGGGUGUAGUGGUGAAAUGCGUAGAUAUCUGGAGGAACACCGGUGGCGAAGGCGGCAUCCUGGACCGGUAUUGACGCUGAGGCGCGAAAGCCAGGGGAGCAAACGGG